GAAUUUUGGACAAUGGGCGAAAGCCUGAUCCAGCAAUGCAGCGUGCAGGAUGAAGGCCUUAGGGUUGUAAACUGCUUUUGUACGGAACGAAAAGCUUUGGGUUAUUACCCUGGAGUCAUGACGGUACCGUAAGAGUAAGCACCGGCUACUCACGUGCCAGCCGCCGCGGUCAUACGUAGGGUGCAAGCGUUAAUCGGAAUUCCUGGGCGUAAAGCGUGCGCAGGCGGUUUUGUAAGACAGAUGUGAAAUCCCCGGGCUCAACCUGGGAACUGCCUUGGUGACUGCAAGGCUAGAGUACGGCAGAGGGGGGUGGAAUUCCGCGUGUAGCAGUGAAAUGCGUAGAUAUGCGGAGGAACACCGAUGGCGAACGCAACCCCCUGGGCCUGUACUGACGCUCAUGCACGAAAGCGUGGGGAGCAAACA
Molecule: ribosomal RNA, 423 nt
Filed under: uncultured bacterium
Lineage: Bacteria
Description: partial 16S ribosomal RNA
Rfam family: Bacterial small subunit ribosomal RNA
Source: RNAcentral